AGAGUUUGAUCAUGGCUCAGGACGAACGCUGGCGGCGUGCUUAACACAUGCAAGUCGAGCGGAAAGGCCCUUUGGGGUACUCGAGCGGCGAACGGGUGAGUAACACGUGAGUAACCUGCCCUCAACUUCGGGAUAAGCCUGGGAAACCGGGUCUAAUACCGGGUAGGACCUGGUGUGGCAUCGCAUCGGGUGGAAAGUUUUUUCGGUUGGGGAUGGGCUCGCGGCCUAUCAGCUUGUUGGUGGGGUAGUGGCCUACCAAGGCGACGACGGGUAGCCGGCCUGAGAGGGCGACCGGCCACACUGGGACUGAGACACGGCCCAGACUCCUACGGGAGGCAGCAGUGGGGAAUCUUGCGCAAUGGGCGGAAGCCUGACGCAGCGACGCCGUGUGGGGGAUGACGGCCUUCGGGUUGUAAACCUCUUUCAGCAGGGACGAAUUCAGACGUGUACCUGUAGAAGAAGCGCCGGCUAACUACGUGCCAGCAGCCGCGGUAAUUCA
This 499-nucleotide ribosomal RNA is filed under the name uncultured Streptosporangium sp. RNAcentral describes it as "bacterial SSU rRNA". It matches the Rfam family "Bacterial small subunit ribosomal RNA", at positions 8 to 527 of the family's 1533-position model. Lineage: Bacteria; Bacillati; Actinomycetota; Actinomycetes; Streptosporangiales; Streptosporangiaceae. The record is from RNAcentral.